RNAcentral lists this ribosomal RNA (401 nucleotides) under uncultured bacterium. RNAcentral's name for it is "bacterial SSU rRNA". It matches the Rfam family "Bacterial small subunit ribosomal RNA", at positions 30 to 433 of the family's 1533-position model. The record is from RNAcentral.
AUUGAACGCUGGCGGCAUGCCUUACACAUGCAAGUCGAACGGCAGCACGGGAGCAAUCCUGGUGGCGAGUGGCGAACGGGUGAGUAAUAUAUCGGAACGUGCCCAGUCGUGGGGAUAACGUAGCGAAAGCUACGCUAAUACCGCAUACGAUCUAUGGAUGAAAGCGGGGGAUCGCAAGACCUCGCGCGAUUGGAGCGGCCGAUAUCAGAUUAGGUAGUUGGUGAGGUAAAGGCUCACCAAGCCGACGAUCUGUAGCUGGUCUGAGAGGACGACCAGCCACACUGGGACUGAGACACGGCCCAGACUCCUACGGAGGCAGCAGUGGGGAAUUUUGGACAAUGGGCGCAAGCCUGAUCCAGCAAUGCCGCGUGCAGGAUGAAGGCCUUCGGUUGGUAACUAGC